AUGAACGCUAGCUACAGGCUUAACACAUGCCAGUCGAGGGGAAACGGCAUCGACAGCUUGCUUUUGAUGGGCGUCGACCGGCGCACGGGUGAGUAACGCGUAUCCAACCUGCCCAUCACUUGGGAAUAACCUUGCGAAAGUAAGACUAAUGCCCAAUGACAUCCCACGAAGGCAUCCGAAUGGGAUUAAAGAUUUAUCGGUGAUGGAUGGGGAUGCGUCUGAUUAGCUUGUUGGCGGGGUGACGGCCCACCAAGGCAACGAUCAGUAGGGGUUCUGAGAGGAAGGUCCCCCACAUUGGAACUGAGACACGGUCCAAACUCCUACGGGAGGCAGCAGUGAGGAAUAUUGGUCAAGGGGCGAGAGCCUGAACCAGCCAAGUAGCGUGCAGGAUGACGGCCCUAUGGGUUGUAAACUGCUUUUAUAAGGGAAUAAAGUGGGUCACGUGUGACUUUUUGCAUGUACCUUAUGAAUAAGGACCGGCUAAUUCCGUG
This 491-nucleotide ribosomal RNA is filed under the name uncultured bacterium. RNAcentral describes it as "partial 16S ribosomal RNA". It matches the Rfam family "Bacterial small subunit ribosomal RNA", at positions 29 to 507 of the family's 1533-position model. The record is from RNAcentral.